AGAGCGAACGCUGGCGGCAGGCCUAACACAUGCAAGUCGAGCGCCCGUAGCAAUACGGGAGCGGCAGACGGGAUAGUAACACGUGGGAACGCGCCCUUCGGUUCGGAAUAACUCAGGGAAACUUGAGCUAAUACCGGAUACGCCCUUACGGGGAAAGAUUUAUUGCCGAAGGAACGGCCCGCGUCCGAUUAGCUAGUUGGUGAGGUAAUGGCUCACCAAGGCUACGAUCGGUAGCUGGUCUGAGAGGAUGACCAGCAUCACUGGGACUGAGACACGGCCCAGACUCCUACGGGAGGCAGCAGUGGGGAAUAUGGACAAUGGGCGCAAGCCUGAUCCAGCCAUGCCGCGUGGAUGAUGAAGGCCUUAGGGUUGUAAAGUCCUUUUAACGGGGAGAUAAUGACGGUACCGUAGAAUAAGCCCCGGCUAACUUCGCGCCAGCAGCCGC
This 445-nucleotide ribosomal RNA is filed under the name uncultured bacterium. Its description in RNAcentral is "SSU rRNA". It matches the Rfam family "Bacterial small subunit ribosomal RNA", at positions 26 to 518 of the family's 1533-position model. The record is from RNAcentral.